This 253-nucleotide ribosomal RNA is filed under the name uncultured bacterium. Its description in RNAcentral is "partial 16S ribosomal RNA". It matches the Rfam family "Bacterial small subunit ribosomal RNA", at positions 524 to 776 of the family's 1533-position model. The record is from RNAcentral.
UACGUAGGGUGCGAGCGUUAAUCGGAAUUACUGGGCGUAAAGCGUGCGCAGGCGGUUUUGUAAGACAGAGGUGAAAUCCCCGGGCUCAACCUGGGAACUGCCUUUGUGACUGCAAGGCUUGAGUGUGGCAGAGGGGGGUGGAAUUCCACGUGUAGCAGUGAAAUGCGUAGAGAUGUGGAGGAACACCGAUGGCGAAGGCAGCCCCCUGGGCUAACACUGACGCUCAUGCACGAAAGCGUGGGGAGCAAACAGG